GCUUGCUCCUGGAUUCAGCGGCGGACGGGUGAGUAAUGCCUAGGAAUCUGCCUGGUAGUGGGGGAUAACGUCCGGAAACGGGCGCUAAUACCGCAUACGUCCUGAGGGAGAAAGUGGGGGAUCUUCGGACCUCACGCUAUCAGAUGAGCCUAGGUCGGAUUAGCUAGUUGGUGGGGUAAAGGCCUACCAAGGCGACGAUCCGUAACUGGUCUGAGAGGAUGAUCAGUCACACUGGAACUGAGACACGGUCCAGACUCCUACGGGAGCAAGCCAGUGGGAG
RNAcentral lists this ribosomal RNA (280 nucleotides) under Pseudomonas aeruginosa. RNAcentral describes it as "partial 16S ribosomal RNA". It matches the Rfam family "Bacterial small subunit ribosomal RNA", at positions 78 to 361 of the family's 1533-position model. The record is from RNAcentral. Lineage: Bacteria; Pseudomonadati; Pseudomonadota; Gammaproteobacteria; Pseudomonadales; Pseudomonadaceae.